CUAAUGUUGUUGGAGGCAAGUUAGAGGGAAGUUGUUGUAUGGAGCUGAACACUUGCGCGCCACUUAUAUGAAAGGUGAAAGACUCUUAAUAUGAAAAUAGUUGAUGGAGAAAGGGUAUUUGAACCUCCAACAUUGACGCUGAAAUGCAAGAAAUGAUUCGGAAAAUGGUGUAAAAUGAGGCUCUUGUGAAACAAAUGCUUAUGAGACAACAAAC
Molecule: long non-coding RNA, 214 nt
Filed under: Trifolium pratense (red clover)
Lineage: Eukaryota; Viridiplantae; Streptophyta; Magnoliopsida; Fabales; Fabaceae
Description: long non-coding RNA (TPRA_LNC010591)
Source: RNAcentral